GAAAGCACUGAUGAAUGGAUGAUGGGGGGACAGGCUUCGCAUAGGGAGUAGACCACGGGAAUUCGAAGAGGCAAAGAUCCUAGUAUGGGAGGAAGAAAGGGGCAGUAUCCUAGAGCUAACCACUUUUCCUUCUACAAAUCUUACCACCUGGAAGAAGUCUUCUCUGACUAGUCACAUGCAGAGAGCCCAAGGACCUCCCCCAAACCUCUGGACUUUUUGCCUCCACCCAAUGAUACUGAUGCCCUUUUCUUCCUGGGAAAGUACAAUUUCCUCCCACAUCUUUGGGAACAUGCUUCUCACCCUCUGGAAGAGUCAUUGAACCAUAGAGUUGCAAAAGACCAUGGAACAUAGAAUACAGAAUG
Long non-coding RNA from Phascolarctos cinereus (koala), 362 nucleotides. RefSeq lists it as uncharacterized. The record is from RefSeq and is a predicted model, not a curated record. NCBI's taxonomy places the organism in Eukaryota, Metazoa, Chordata, Mammalia, Diprotodontia, Phascolarctidae.